GGGACACGUGGUAUCCUGUCUGAAUAUGGGGGGACCAUCCUCCAAGGCUAAAUACUCCUGACUGACCGAUAGUGAACCAGUACCGUGAGGGAAAGGCGAAAAGAACCCCGGCGAGGGGAGUGAAAAAGAACCUGAAACCGUGUACGUACAAGCAGUGGGAGCCUCUUUAUGGGGUGACUGCGUACCUUUUGUAUAAUGGGUCAGCGACUUAUAUUCUGUAGCAAGGUUAACCGAAUAGGGGAGCCGAAGGGAAACCGAGUCUUAACUGGGCGUUAAGUUGCAGGGUAUAGACCCGAAACCCGGUGAUCUAGCCAUGGGCAGGUUGAAGGUUGGGUAACACUAACUGGAGGACCGAACCGACUAAUGUUGAAAAAUUAGCGGAUGACUUGUGGCUGGGGGUGAAAGGCCAAUCAAACCGGGAGAUAGCUGGUUCUCCCCGAAAGCUAUUUAGGUAGCGCCUCGUGAAUUCAUCUCCGGGGGUAGAGCACUGUUUCGGCAAGGGGGUCAUCCCGACUUACCAACCCGAUGCAAACUGCGAAUACCGGAGAAUGUUAUCACGGGAGACACACGGCGGGUGCUAACGUCCGUCGUGAAGAGGGAAACAACCCAGACCGCCAGCUAAGGUCCCAAAGUCAUGGUUAAGUGGGAAACGAUGUGGGAAGGCCCAGACAGCCAGGAUGUUGGCUUAGAAGCAGCCAUCAUUUAAAGAAAGCGUAAUAGCUCACUGGUCGAGUCGGCCUGCGCGGAAGAUGUAACGGGGCUAAACCAUGCACCGAAGCUGCGGCAGCGACGCUGAUGCGUUGUUGGGUAGGGGAGCGUUCUGUAAGCCUGCGAAGGUGUGCUGUGAGGCAUGCUGGAGGUAUCAGAAGUGCGAAUGCUGACAUAAGUAACGAUAAAGCGGGUGAAAAGCCCGCUCGCCGGAAGACCAAGGGUUCCUGUCCAACGUUAAUCGGGGCAGGGUGAGUCGACCCCUAAGGCGAGGCCGAAAGGCGUAGUCGAUGGGAAACAGGUUAAUAUUCCUGUACUUGGUGUUACUGCGAAGGGGGGACGGAGAAGGCUAUGUUGGCCGGGCGACGGUUGUCCCGGUUUAAGCGUGUAGGCUGGUUUUCCAGGCAAAUCCGGAAAAUCAAGGCUGAGGCGUGAUGACGAGGCACUACGGUGCUGAAGCAACAAAUGCCCUGCUUCCAGGAAAAGCCUCUAAGCAUCAGGUAACAUCAAAUCGUACCCCAAACCGACACAGGUGGUCAGGUAGAGAAUACCAAGGCGCUUGAGAGAACUCGGGUGAAGGAACUAGGCAAAAUGGUGCCGUAACUUCGGGAGAAGGCACGCUGAUAUGUAGGUGAAGCGACUUGCUCGUGGAGCUGAAAUCAGUCGAAGAUACCAGCUGGCUGCAACUGUUUAUUAAAAACACAGCACUGUGCAAACACGAAAGUGGACGUAUACGGUGUGACGCCUGCCCGGUGCCGGAAGGUUAAUUGAUGGGGUCAGCGCAAGCGAAGCUCUUGAUCGAAGCCCCGGUAAACGGCGGCCGUAACUAUAACGGUCCUAAGGUAGCGAAAUUCCUUGUCGGGUAAGUUCCGACCUGCACGAAUGGCGUAAUGAUGGCCAGGCUGUCUCCACCCGAGACUCAGUGAAAUUGAACUCGCUGUGAAGAUGCAGUGUACCCGCGGCAAGACGGAAAGACCCCGUGAACCUUUACUAUAGCUUGACACUGAACAUUGAGCCUUGAUGUGUAGGAUAGGUGGGAGGCUUUGAAGUGUGGACGCCAGUCUGCAUGGAGCCGGCCUUGAAAUACCACCCUUUAAUGUUUGAUGUUCUAACGUGGACCCGUGAUCCGGGUUGCGGACAGUGUCUGGUGGGUAGUUUGACUGGGGCGGUCUCCUCCUAAAGAGUAACGGAGGAGCACGAAGGUUGGCUAAUCCUGGUCGGACAUCAGGAGGUUAGUGCAAUGGCAUAAGCCAGCUUGACUGCGAGCGUGACGGCGCGAGCAGGUGCGAAAGCAGGUCAUAGUGAUCCGGUGGUUCUGAAUGGAAGGGCCAUCGCUCAACGGAUAAAAGGUACUCCGGGGAUAACAGGCUGAUACCGCCCAAGAGUUCAUAUCGACGGCGGUGUUUGGCACCUCGAUGUCGGCUCAUCACAUCCUGGGGCUGAAGUAGGUCCCAAGGGUAUGGCUGUUCGCCAUUUAAAGUGGUACGCGAGCUGGGUUUAGAACGUCGUGAGACAGUUCGGUCCCUAUCUGCCGUGGGCGCUGGAGAACUGAGGGGGGCUGCUCCUAGUACGAGAGGACCGGAGUGGACGCAUCACUGGUGUUCGGGUUGUCAUGCCAAUGGCACUGCCCGGUAGCUAAAUGCGGAAGAGAUAAGUGCUGAAAGCAUCUAAGCACGAAACUUGCCCCGAGAUGAGUUCUCCCUGACUCCUUGAGAGUCCUGAAGGAACGUUGAAGACGACGACGUUGAUAGGCCGGGUGUGUAAGCGCAGCGAUGCGUUGAGCUAACCGGUACUAAUGAACCGUGAG
Molecule: ribosomal RNA, 2515 nt
Filed under: Escherichia coli
Lineage: Bacteria; Pseudomonadati; Pseudomonadota; Gammaproteobacteria; Enterobacterales; Enterobacteriaceae
Description: partial 23S ribosomal RNA
Rfam family: Bacterial large subunit ribosomal RNA
Source: RNAcentral